Molecule: transfer RNA, 76 nt
Filed under: Gammaproteobacteria bacterium
Lineage: Bacteria; Pseudomonadati; Pseudomonadota; Gammaproteobacteria
Description: tRNA-Ala
Rfam family: tRNA
About the family: Transfer RNA (tRNA) molecules are approximately 80 nucleotides in length.
Source: RNAcentral
GGGGCCAUAGCUCAGCUGGGAGAGCGCGACAAUGGCAUUGUCGAGGUCGGGGGUUCGAUCCCCCCUGGCUCCACCA